RNAcentral lists this ribosomal RNA (253 nucleotides) under uncultured bacterium. RNAcentral's name for it is "partial 16S ribosomal RNA". It matches the Rfam family "Bacterial small subunit ribosomal RNA", at positions 524 to 776 of the family's 1533-position model. The record is from RNAcentral.
UACGUAGGGAGCAAGCGUUGUCCGGAAUCAUUGGGCGUAAAGCGCGUGUAGGCGGUUACAUAAGUCUGUUGUGAAAGUCGGAGGCUCAACCUUCGAAAGCCGAUGGAUACUGUGUGACUUGAGUACGGAAGAGGAGAGUGGAAUUCCUGGUGUAGCAGUGAAAUGCGCAGAUAUCAGGAGGAACACCAACGGCGAAGGCAGCUCUCUGGGACGUUACUGACGCUGAGACGCGAAAGCGUGGGGAGCAAACAGG